RNAcentral lists this ribosomal RNA (541 nucleotides) under uncultured Glomeromycotina. RNAcentral describes it as "SSU rRNA". It matches the Rfam family "Eukaryotic small subunit ribosomal RNA", at positions 555 to 1098 of the family's 1831-position model. The record is from RNAcentral. Lineage: Eukaryota; Fungi; Glomeromycota.
GCAAGUCUGGUGCCAGCAGCCGCGGUAAUUCCAGCUCCAAUAGCGUAUAUUAAAGUUGUUGCAGUUAAAAAGCUCGUAGUUGAAUUUCGGGAUCAGUACGCCGGUCGUGCCUUCGGUAUGCACUGGUGUCACUGGUUUCUCCCUUCUGAAGAACCAUCAUGCCAUUCAGUUGGUGUGGCGGGGAAUCAGGACUGUUACUUUGAAAAAAUUAGAGUGUUUAAAGCAGGCUCGCGCUUGAAUACAUUAGCAUGGAAUAAUGAAAUAGGACGUUUGACCCUAUUUUGUUGGUUUCUAGGAUCGACGUAAUGAUUAAUAGGGAUAGUUGGGGGCAUUAGUAUUCAAUUGUCAGAGGUGAAAUUCUUGGAUUUAUUGAAGACUAACUACUGCGAAAGCAUUUGCCAAGAAUGUUUUCAUUAAUCAAGAACGAAAGUUAGGGGAUCGAAGACGAUCAGAUACCGUCGUAGUCUUAACCAUAAACUAUGCCGACUAGGGAUCGGAUGAUGUUAAUUUUUUAAUGACUCAUUCGGCGCCUUACGGAAAC